This 1194-nucleotide long non-coding RNA is filed under the name Phasianus colchicus (ring-necked pheasant). RNAcentral describes it as "lncRNA (ENSPCLG00000010849.1)". The record is from RNAcentral. Lineage: Eukaryota; Metazoa; Chordata; Aves; Galliformes; Phasianidae.
CAUGCAAAUGUAUUUAAUAAGGUGACUGAGUUACAGAAAGAGAAGAGCAAGAGGAAGAUUUCAAGGUUCCCCAGAGCACUGAAAGUAGUGGACUAAUGAAGAACAAAAGUGAGUAUGUCAUCUGAGUAUGCAGAGAACAUCACGAUUUUCUGUCCCUAUCUGGGUAAUCAUCUCCAGGCUGAUUAGUGUCCUUCCUCAAGAAAUGACACAAAUAUUAAGUCCAACAUCGGCAUUGAGGCAUGGCCUGGGUCUUCUCCAUUUCAGAGUCAUUGGUGGAAGAGUCAUCCAGAAACCCCAUGACAAGAUGAGUAAGACAGUGCUGAAAAGGAGUCCCCUGGAAACCCUUCGGAUGCUGUGUUCUGGAAGCCUUUAAAAGGUACAAUGAAGAAUUCCUUCAAACCUAAGAACACUGCAUCCUGAAGGGUAAGAUGCAACAUAGUUUUAAUGGUACUAUGCCUUUAUGUUAUGAGGUACAGUCCUUUUUUCACUUGAGUACUCUCUCUUUCCUUGCAGAGUUGAAUCUGCAAAGAUGCUACUUCUCUUAGCAGGAGCUGUGCAUUGCGCACAGAUAAGUUGAAACCCUGACCCAAAAAAAAAAAAAAAUUAUCAUCAAUGGAAAAUUAGUUUUGGUAUAACUGAAAAGAUGGUUAUUCCACCAUCGAUACUAUGCACGGUGUGGCACAUAGAUGUUUCUUUGUUGCUGAUUGGUACAAAAUAUGUAAGGCCUGGUUUAGUACAAUACUGCAGUUUAAUUCUGUGUUUGAAGAGAUUACAUUUUUUAUGUUGAGACAUUUAGACAUUUACUUGAUGUGGAUGUUUUCCAAAAGCUAAGAUGAAAUAAUGAAAAAUGAUUUUCCCAAUCUAGUGCAACUGUUGUAAGAAAUAUAACAGCUGGUGAUCUACAGUUCAGUGACAGAUGAACAGACUGAUCUAUUCACCUGCAGAGUGCAGAUAAAAAUUAAUAAGAAAAGGAGAAGUUAAAUAGUAAAUCAACAAAAGGGAGAAGGUGAAAGAUGUGCAGCAAUAUAUUCUUGUGUAAUUAAGUUAGAAAUUCUGAUUAGCGAUUAAAAGAAAAGGUGAGAUUGAAGGAGUUAGAGCAAAAAUUUGGUAAAAUGAGCUAAGACUACAGUUGAUAAGAGAAGAGCUCAAUUUGUGCACUUCUUAGGAGUCAUUUCCUUACAAACUUACUUGCAG